GUGCCAGCAGCCGCGGUAAUACGAAGGUCCCGAGCGUUGUUCGGAAUCACUGGGCGUAAAGGGAGCGUAGGCGGCGCGGUAAGUCAGAUGUGAAAUCCCGGGGCUCAACCCCGGAACUGCAUCCGAUACUGCCGUGCUAGAGGACUGGAGAGGCAACUGGAAUUCUCGGUGUAGCAGUGAAAUGCGUGGAGAUCGAGAGGAACACUCGUGGCGAAAGCGAGUUGCUGGACAGUAUCUGACGCUGAGGCUCGAGGGCCGGGGGAGCGAAAGGGAUUAGAUACCCCUGUAGUCCCGGCAGUAAACGGUGUGCGCUUGGUGUGAGGGGAAUCGACCCCUCUUGUGCCGGAGCUAACGCGUUAAGCGCACCGCCUGGGAAGUACGGUCGCAAGACUAAAACUCAAAGAAAUUGACGGGGACCCGCACAAGCGGUGGAGUAUGUGGCUUAAUUCGAUGCAACGCGAAGAACCUUACCUGGGCUUGACAUGCAUCUCUAAUCGCGUGAAAGCGCGUGACCCUUCGGGGGAUUUGCACAGGUGCUGCAUGGCCGUCGUCAGCUCGUGUCGUGAGAUGUUGGGUUAAGUCCCGCAACGAGCGCAACCCUUGUGAACAGUUGCCAGCGGUUCGGCCGGGAACUCUGUUCAGACUGCCCAGAUCAACUGGGAGGAAGGUGGGGACGACGUCAGGUCAGUAUGGCCCUUACGCCCAGGGCUGCACACGUACUACAAUGCCCAGUACAAUGAGAGCCGAGACCGCGAGGUGGAGGAAAUCUGAAAAACUGGGCCCAGUUCGGAUUGGAGGCUGCAACUCGCCUCCAUGAAGUUGGAAUCGCUAGUAAUGGCGCAUCAGCUACGGCGCCGUGAAUACGUUCCCGGGUCUUGUACACACCGCCCGU
Molecule: ribosomal RNA, 892 nt
Filed under: uncultured bacterium
Lineage: Bacteria
Description: bacterial SSU rRNA
Rfam family: Bacterial small subunit ribosomal RNA
Source: RNAcentral